RNAcentral lists this ribosomal RNA (330 nucleotides) under uncultured bacterium. RNAcentral describes it as "bacterial SSU rRNA". It matches the Rfam family "Bacterial small subunit ribosomal RNA", at positions 568 to 898 of the family's 1533-position model. The record is from RNAcentral.
CGCGUAGGCGGUGAUAUAAGUCUGGGGUGGAAUUCUGCAGCUUAACUGCGGGACUGCCCUGGAAACUGCAUUGCUUGAGUCGGACAGGGGAAGGCGGAAUUCCAGGUGUAGCGGUGAAAUGCGUAGAUAUCUGGAGGAAGGCCUGUGGUGAAGACGGCCUUCUGGGUCUUGACUGACGCUGAGGCGCGAAAGCGUGGGGAGCAAACAGGAUUAGAUACCCUGGUAGUCCACGCCCUAAACGGUGGGUACUAGGUGUGGGGCCCGUACGGGUUCUGUGCCGCAGGGAAACCAUUAAGUACCCCGCCUGGGGAGUACGGCCGCAAGGUUGAA